This 56-nucleotide transfer RNA is filed under the name Ovis aries (sheep). It matches the Rfam family "tRNA", at positions 9 to 63 of the family's 71-position model. Rfam says of the family: Transfer RNA (tRNA) molecules are approximately 80 nucleotides in length. Their secondary structure includes four short double-helical elements and three loops (D, anti-codon, and T loops). The record is from Rfam by way of RNAcentral. Lineage: Eukaryota; Metazoa; Chordata; Mammalia; Artiodactyla; Bovidae.
AGCUCAGUUAGUAAAGCAUCUGCCUGCAAUGCAGGAGACCCUGGUUCGAUUCCUGG